GCAAUACUUCCUCAUUUCUGUGACGACCUCUCAGCGUCAAAGACACAAAAGAGGAACAGUGAGGUGGCCUGAAUCCAUCCACUGUACAUGUGAGACGGGGAAAGAUAGAGGGGAGGGAAUCAUAUCAUGGAACGAGCGUGAGUGUGUCUGAUUGAUAGAGUGACAGAAAUAAUGAGCGAGAGAGAGAGAGAAAGAGAGAGAAGACAGAGAGGCUGGAAUGUGGUGGAACAGUGAAAGAUAAAAAGGCUGAGUGAGAGAGUGUAAUGAAGAAAAUUGGGGAUAAUUGAAUAGAAGAGCACUUGGGUGCAAAAAAAAAAGGAAAAAAAAGCAGAGAGCAACUGACAGAUGGAUGGUGAAGAGUCAGUGCACAUUGGAAGUACAAAGAGAGGAAGGAGAACGGAGGAGAGAGAUCAAUCGAGCAGCUGAAGAGGUCACUGCGGAUACAACGAGGAGCAACACAGCCUGAACUACAGACUAAAAGGCCACUGUAAGCUGUGCCAGACACCUGUCGAUGUUCCUUGGUCACCGAUAGAGCAUGUUUCAGAAGAUGAAGCCAGUCUCAUUGGAUAGCCAUGUUUUGUCUCCAUGACAGCUAUGUCACUCAGCCCUCUCUGCAGUGACACCUGCACAGCAAAGGAUGCUGGGAAAUAAUGAGCACUUUUA
Seriola aureovittata is the source of this 663-nucleotide long non-coding RNA. RefSeq lists it as uncharacterized. The transcript has 4 exons. NCBI's taxonomy places the organism in Eukaryota, Metazoa, Chordata, Actinopteri, Carangiformes, Carangidae. The record is from RefSeq and is a predicted model, not a curated record.